GCUAUAAAUAAGCCCCUUUGGAGAGGGGAUACCCUAGUGGAAUAGAGGACACAGCGGGGCGUUUGAGGACUUCUGCUCCCGUGAAACUAUAUUAACUGCGAAAAAUAUAAAGGAAAACUUAAAAUCUCUCGCUAUAACAAGGUUUGCCAAGUGUCAUGAACAGGGUGUAUUAUUAUAGUGAGAACAGCCACUGGUGGCAGAAUGUGAACUCGCUGGCUACAGGAUUCUACCUGCACCGUCAGGUGGGUGAACAGGUGCAGCCAGCACAGCCGGGAGGGCGGCCACCACUCAUCCACACCCUCACCGUGGCCGAACACUUAGCUGAAAUCAUCCUGGAGGCGAGGUUUGGCAGUGGCCAUCUGAAGCGGCGGCGAGGCAGGACAGCCUUCAGCGCCCAGCAGCUGGAGGCCCUGGAGACGGCCUUCCACACAACCCGCUAUCCCGACAUGGCCAUGCGGGAACGGCUGGCAAUGUACAUCAACCUCCCAGAGCCAAGAA
Amblyraja radiata (thorny skate) is the source of this 498-nucleotide long non-coding RNA. RefSeq lists it as uncharacterized. NCBI's taxonomy places the organism in Eukaryota, Metazoa, Chordata, Chondrichthyes, Rajiformes, Rajidae. The record is from RefSeq and is a predicted model, not a curated record. The transcript is spliced from 3 exons.